GGCUCUCUUUGGGGGUCCGAGUUGUAAUUUGCAGAGGAUGCUUUGGCAUUGGCGGCGGUCUAAGUUCCUUGGAACAGGACAUCACAGAGGGUGAGAAUCCCGUACGUGGUCGCCUGCCUUUGCCGUGUAAAGCUCCUUCGACGAGUCGAGUUGUUUGGGAAUGCAGCUCUAAAUGGGAGGUAAAUUUCUUCUAAAGCUAAAUACUGGCCAGAGACCGAUAGCGCACAAGUAGAGUGAUCGAAAGAUGAAAAGUACUUUGGAAAGAGAGUCAAAAAGCACGUGAAAUUGUUGAAAGGGAAGCGCUUGCAGCCAGACUUGCCCGCAGUUGCUCACCUAGGCUUUGGCCUGGGGCACUCUUCUGCGGGCAGGCCAGCAUCAGUUUGGGCGGUUGGAUAAAGGCCUCUGUCACGUAUCUCCCUUCGGGGUGACCUUAUAGGGGAGGCGCAAUGCAACCAGCCCGGACUGAGGUCCGCGCAUCUGCUAGGAUGCUGGCGUAAUGGCUGUAAGCGGCCCGUCUUGAAACACGGACCAAGGAGUCUAACAUCUAUGCGAGUGUUUGGGUGUCAAGCCCGAGCGCGCAAUGAAAGUGAACGGAGGUGGGAACCCUUUGGGUGCACCAUCGACCGAUCCUGAUGUCUUCGGAUGGAUUUGAGUAAGAGCAUAGCUGUUGGGACCCGAAAGAUGGUGAACUAUGCUUGAAUAGGGUGAAGCCAGAGGAAACUCUGGUGGAGGCUCGCA
Molecule: ribosomal RNA, 738 nt
Filed under: Curreya sp. 799_1_Y02
Lineage: Eukaryota; Fungi; Ascomycota; Dothideomycetes; Pleosporales; Cucurbitariaceae
Description: eukaryotic LSU rRNA
Rfam family: Eukaryotic large subunit ribosomal RNA
Source: RNAcentral